AUGGACGCGAAGUCAGUGAUAGCAGCAAAUUCAAUUCCGUUCCGUUUUAGAGGGUUUCUCGGGCGGAAAAGGGAGAGUAAUUUAAAAUUCUCUGGCCAAACAGACCUAAAUGUUCAUGCAUUAGCUCGCAAGACAAAAUCUAACUGGAAGCGGGUUCAAAGUGUUGGUAAUGCCAAGGAAACUUCUGUAGAAUGUGCAUCUUUAGUACAAAACCUGCAUAGGAAAAAUGAACUGUGUCUGCCUGACAAAUGUACCCUUUCGGAUAUGAUGCUUUAUUUUGCUGGUAAUGGACAUAUUCGUGAAGCUCGGGCUAUAUGGGAGGAGAUGCUGAAUAGCUCGGAAAUGCCGAGUAUUGAAAUCAUUUCCAAGCUAUUUUAUGCUUUUGCGAAAUGGGGCUAUUUCGAUGGAGUAGUAAAGAUUCUAGACCAGUUGAGUUAUAGUGAUUUCAGUAACCUACACGAGGCUUACUCGAUUGCUAUAUCUUGCUUUGGAGACGGAGGACAGCUUCCGUUGAUGGAAAAUGCGUUGAAUGAUAUGGUCUUGAGGGGAUUUACAGUUGACUACGCUACUGGAAAUGCUUUUAUUAGAUAUUGCAGUAUGCAUGGUUCUUUGAGGGAGAUGGAGUCGGCUUAUAGUCGUCUUAAAAAGUCUAGACAUCUUAUAGAUAGAGAAGGGAUCAGAGCAAUAUCGCUUGUGUAUUUAAGGCGUCGAAAGCUUUACAGACUAGGAGAAUUCUUGAGAGAUGUGGGGCUUGCUAGGAAAGAUGUAGGAAACCUCUUAUGGAAUUUUCUGUUGCUAUCUUAUGCUGCGGACUUCAAAAUGAAAACUCUGCAAAGAGAAUUUCUUAAAAUGUUAGAAGCUGGUUUUCGCCCUGAUGUCACUACGUUUAAUAUACGAGCUCUGGCUUUUUCAAGAAUGUCUUUGUUAUGGGAUCUCCAUCUUAGCCUUGAACAUAUGAAACAUGAAAGAGUAUCUCCUGAUCUCGUGACUUACGGCUGUAUUGUCGAUGCAUACUUGGAUAGAAGACUGGCUAAGAAUCUGAACUUUGCCCUCAAAAAAAUGAAUAUGGAUGGUUCUCCUGUACUCUUGACAGAUCCUUUUGUGUUUGAGGUUUUGGGUAAAGGGGAUUUCCAUUCAAGUGCAGAGUCAUUUUUGGAGUUUAAGAGGCAAUGGAGAUGGACGUACAAAGAACUUGUAUCUGUGUAUCUCAGAAAGCAGCAUCGAAGUAACCAGAUCUUCUGGAAUUACUAACCCGCGAUGUCAUGUUAGAAUGCUGAAACUCCCCGGCCUGUUGAUCAAACUGGAACAUCAUUUUUGUCCGCAGAAUAUCGCCCCAGAUGUGGAUACUCCUGAAUUCUGCAUUGUAAUUUAUGCUGCAACUCUGGCUGGAUUUAGUUCAGUUAUCACAAUACAAUUUUUAUAUAGAAUGAUGGUGAGAUGUUGAAAAUGAACUUCUGAAAUAAAGAAGCUGUAAAUAUCAAUCUAGCUCUCAUCAUAUGUAACUUACUAAAAUAAAUAUACAUUACCCCGGGUGAGUCAAUGAAUCACAAACAGCAGCAGCAGCACAUGGCAAUUUUUACCGCUGCAAGCCUUCCGUGAUUGACUGGAGCGGCUGUCAACCUUUUGUUUCGUGAAUCCUGCUGCUUAUCAUACACACCAAUUAUUUGGAAUAUGUGAAGAGACAGAAGAAUAGACACAGGAUGCAUUACUUCUUAGAUAUGUACAUGGCGGGUUCUUGGCAUAUACUGCCACAAGGUAUGUUUUGUUAAAACAUAUUGGUAAGUAUAUAUUCAUUCAAUUUCAAUUGUUGUGAUAUUUAUUGGAGGAGUCAUUUUUUCAUAAGAUUUUAUGCUCUUAAAUUUUGAAAUUUGACGAUAAAAUUUACAUUUGGGAGUUAUAGCCAGGUAAAUGGCAGUUCAUUCAUUGUACAAC
RNA transcript from Mercurialis annua (annual mercury), 1932 nucleotides. It is a transcript of the gene named pentatricopeptide repeat-containing protein At3g42630, with no coding region annotated. The transcript is spliced from 3 exons. Lineage: Eukaryota; Viridiplantae; Streptophyta; Magnoliopsida; Malpighiales; Euphorbiaceae. The record is from RefSeq and is a predicted model, not a curated record.